AGUGAACGCUGGCGGUAGGCCUAACACAUGCAAGUCGAACGGCAGCACAGUAAGAGCUUGCUCUUACGGGUGGCGAGUGGCGGACGGGUGAGGAAUACAUCGGAAUCUACUUUUUCGUGGGGGAUAACGUAGGGAAACUUACGCUAAUACCGCAUACGACCUACGGGUGAAAGCAGGGGAUCUUCGGACCUUGCGCGAUUGAAUGAGCCGAUGUCGGAUUAGCUAGUUGGCGGGGUAAAGGCCCACCAAGGCGACGAUCCGUAGCUGGUCUGAGAGGAUGAUCAGCCACACUGGAACUGAGAAACGGUACAGACUGCUACGGGAGGCAGCAGUGGGGAAUAUUGGACAAUGGGCGAAAGCCUGAUCCAGCCAUACCGCGUGGGUGAAGAAGGCCUUCGGGUUGUAAAGCCCUUUUGUUGGGAAAGAAAAGCAGCAGGUUAAUACCCCGCUGUUCUGACGGUACCCAAAGAAUAAGCACCGGCUAACUUCGUG
Molecule: ribosomal RNA, 492 nt
Filed under: uncultured bacterium
Lineage: Bacteria
Description: partial 16S ribosomal RNA
Rfam family: Bacterial small subunit ribosomal RNA
Source: RNAcentral